UGGGGAAUUUUGGACAAUGGGCGCAAGCCUGAUCCAGCCAUGCCGCGUGCGGGAAGAAGGCCUUCGGGUUGUAAACCGCUUUUGUCAGGGAAGAAAUCUUCUGAGUUAAUACCUCGGGAGGAUGACGGUACCUGAAGAAUAAGCACCGGCUAACUACGUGCCAGCAGCCGCGGUAAUACGUAGGGUGCAAGCGUUAAUCGGAAUUACUGGGCGUAAAAGCGUGCGCAAGGCGGUUUUGUAAGACAGAGGUGAAAUCCCCGGGCUCAACCUGGGAACUGCCUUUGUGACUGCAAGGCUUGAGUGCGGCAGAGGGGGAUGGAAUUCCGCGUGUAGCAGUGAAAAUGCGUAGAUAUGCGGAGGAACACCGAUGGCGAAAGGCAAUCCCCUGGGCCUGCACUGACGCUCAUGCACGAAAACGUGGGGAGCAAAACAGGAUUAG
Molecule: ribosomal RNA, 439 nt
Filed under: uncultured bacterium
Lineage: Bacteria
Description: partial 16S ribosomal RNA
Rfam family: Bacterial small subunit ribosomal RNA
Source: RNAcentral